GUUUUCCUGCAAUAAAAACUAUAGAUCAAGAUGUUGUCUUUUUGACUAGAUAAAAGAUGUUUGUGUGACAUUUGGAAUCGACCAAACUUCAGUUGUGAUGAGCAUGAGGCCUGCAACUGUGACUGUAUACGACUAUUACGACCCAGAUAAGUCAGCUUCUUCACAGUACACCAUAACAAACGAUCUUUGUACAACACAACCAGGCGCUUAGCCUCAUUGGCCCCAAGCCCUCGGCAGAUAUAGAUCGCCAUUGUAUUAGAGUUGAUCUACCGCUACUUACUCUGAUUGCAUCAUAGGCUUAUUUUAUCAGACCCAAAUAGGCGGAACAACUUUUGCUUACAACCAUCGCAUGCGAACCUGCGUUUCAUGUCAUCCUUACUGAACGACUACAGCAAUUGUUUUUGACCAUUAUAAAAAAUCGUAGCUAUGUUAUAAGGAUGACUUACGCAGGUUGUAUGCGAUGGUUCUAGGCAAAAGUUGUGUUGUCCGAUUGCAGCCUUUACCAGCUGCAUGUAUUUUUAUGUUUUAACCGUUUUUGUAGAUUUCGCAAAUGUGGAGAAAUUAAAAGAAAGUGAUUAUAAAUUCUGAAAACAAGUUUUAAAAUUAUGGCGUA
Long non-coding RNA from Exaiptasia diaphana, 613 nucleotides. RefSeq lists it as uncharacterized. Lineage: Eukaryota; Metazoa; Cnidaria; Anthozoa; Actiniaria; Aiptasiidae. The transcript is spliced from 2 exons. The record is from RefSeq and is a predicted model, not a curated record.